GCGAUUGUAAAUUUAGUGGCGGACGGGUGAGUAACGCGUGGGUAACCUGCCUUGUACUGGGGGACAACAGUUGGAAACGACUGCUAAUACCGCAUAAGCGCACAGCUUCGCAUGAAGCAGUGUGAAAAACUCCGGUGGUACAAGAUGGACCCGCGUCUGAUUAGCUGGUUGGUGAGGUAACGGCCCACCAAGGCGACGAUCAGUAGCCGGCCUGAGAGGGUGAACGGCCACAUUGGGACUGAGACACGGCCCAAACUCCUACGGGAGGCAGCAGUGGGGAAUAUUGCACAAUGGGGGAAACCCUGAUGCAGCAACGCCGCGUGAGUGAAGAAGUAUUUCGGUAUGUAAAGCUCUAUCAGCAGGAAAGAAAAUGACGGUACCUGACUAAGAAGCCCCGGCUAACUACGUGCCAGCGGCCGCGGUAAUACGUAGGGGGCAAGCGUUAUCCGGAUUUACUGGGUGUAAAGGGAGCGUAGACGGUUUUGCAAGUCUGAAGUGAAAGCCC
This 505-nucleotide ribosomal RNA is filed under the name uncultured bacterium. RNAcentral describes it as "bacterial SSU rRNA". It matches the Rfam family "Bacterial small subunit ribosomal RNA", at positions 80 to 603 of the family's 1533-position model. The record is from RNAcentral.